GCCUCAGUAGCUCAGUUGGCAGAGCAACCGCCUUGUAAGCGGUAGGUUCGUGGGUUCGAACCCCACCUGAGGCU
RNAcentral lists this transfer RNA (74 nucleotides) under Anaerolineae bacterium. Its description in RNAcentral is "tRNA-Thr". It matches the Rfam family "tRNA". Rfam says of the family: Transfer RNA (tRNA) molecules are approximately 80 nucleotides in length. Their secondary structure includes four short double-helical elements and three loops (D, anti-codon, and T loops). Further hydrogen bonds mediate the characteristic L-shaped molecular structure. tRNAs have two regions of fundamental functional importance: the anti-codon, which is responsible for specific mRNA codon recognition, and the 3' end, to which the tRNAs corresponding amino acid is attached (by aminoacyl-tRNA synthetases). tRNAs cope with the degeneracy of the genetic code in two manners: having more than one tRNA (with a specific anti-codon) for a particular amino acid; and 'wobble' base-pairing, i.e. permitting non-standard base-pairing at the 3rd anti-codon position. The record is from RNAcentral. Lineage: Bacteria; Bacillati; Chloroflexota; Anaerolineae.